UGCGUAGGCGGCCGAGCAAGUCAGUUGUGAAAGCUAUGGGCUUAACCCAUAACGUGCAAUUGAAACUGUCCGGCUUGAGUGAAGUAGAGGUAGGCGGAAUUCCCGGUGUAGCGGUGAAAUGCGUAGAGAUCGGGAGGAACACCAGUGGCGAAGGCGGCCUACUGGGCUUCAACUGACGCUGAGGCACGAAAGCAUGGGUAGCAAACA
RNAcentral lists this ribosomal RNA (207 nucleotides) under uncultured bacterium. RNAcentral's name for it is "partial 16S ribosomal RNA". It matches the Rfam family "Bacterial small subunit ribosomal RNA", at positions 568 to 774 of the family's 1533-position model. The record is from RNAcentral.